Molecule: ribosomal RNA, 1113 nt
Filed under: uncultured Massilia sp.
Lineage: Bacteria; Pseudomonadati; Pseudomonadota; Betaproteobacteria; Burkholderiales; Oxalobacteraceae
Description: bacterial SSU rRNA
Rfam family: Bacterial small subunit ribosomal RNA
Source: RNAcentral
AGGCUCACCAAGGCGACGAUCAGUAGCUGGUCUGAGAGGACGACCAGCCACACUGGAACUGAGACACGGUCCAGACUCCUACGGGAGGCAGCAGUGGGGAAUUUUGGACAAUGGGCGCAAGCCUGAUCCAGCAAUGCCGCGUGAGUGAAGAAGGCCUUCGGGUUGUAAAGCUCUUUUGUCAGGGAAGAAACGGCUGUGGCUAAUAUCCACGGCUAAUGACGGUACCUGAAGAAUAAGCACCGGCUAACUACGUGCCAGCAGCCGCGGUAAUACGUAGGGUGCAAGCGUUAAUCGGAAUUACUGGGCGUAAAGCGUGCGCAGGCGGUUUUGUAAGUCUGUCGUGAAAUCCCCGGGCUCAACCUGGGAAUUGCGAUGGAGACUGCAAGGCUAGAAUCUGGCAGAGGGGGGUAGAAUUCCACGUGUAGCAGUGAAAUGCGUAGAGAUGUGGANGGAANCACCGAUGGNCGAAGGCAGCCCCCUGGGUCAAGAUUGACGCUCAUGCACGAAAGCGUGGGGAGCAAACAGGACUAGAUACCCUGGUAGUCCACGCCCUAAACGAUGUCUACUAGUUGUCGGGUUUUAAUUAACUUGGUAACGCAGCUAACGCGUGAAGUAGACCGNCCUGGGGAGUACGGUCGCAAGAUUAAAACUCAAAGGAAUUGACGGGGACCCGCACAAGCGGUGGAUGAUGUGGAUUAAUUCGAUGCAACGCGAAAAACCUUACCUACCCUUGACAUGUCAGGAAGACCGGAGAGAUCUGGUUGUGCCCGAAAGGGAACCUGAACACAGGUGCUGCAUGGCUGUCGUCAGCUCGUGUCGUGAGAUGUUGGGUUAAGUCCCGCAACGAGCGCAACCCUUGUCAUUAGUUGCUACGCAAGAGCACUCUAAUGAGACUGCCGGUGACAAACCGGAGGAAGGUGGGGAUGACGUCAAGUCCUCAUGGCCCUUAUGGGUAGGGCUUCACACGUCAUACAAUGGUACAUACAGAGGGCCGCCAACCCGCGAGGGGGAGCUAAUCCCAGAAAGUGUAUCGUAGUCCGGAUCGUAGUCUGCAACUCGACUACGUGAAGUUGGAAUCGCUAGUAAUCGCGGAUCAGCAUGCCGCGGUGAAUA